This 506-nucleotide ribosomal RNA is filed under the name uncultured bacterium. Its description in RNAcentral is "bacterial SSU rRNA". It matches the Rfam family "Bacterial small subunit ribosomal RNA", at positions 32 to 518 of the family's 1533-position model. The record is from RNAcentral.
AACGCUGGCGGCGUGCUUAACACAUGCAAGUCGAACGCGAAAGGGACUUCGGUCCUGAGUAAAGUGGCGCACGGGUGAGUAACGCGUAGAUAACCUGUCUUCAUGUCUGGAAUAAUACGCCAAAGGGGUACUAAUACCGGAUAUUCUUGCUUUUCAUAAGUUAUGCAAGCAAAGGUGGCCUCUGCAUAUGCUACCGCAUGAAGAGGGGUCUGCGUACCAUUAGCUAGUAGGUGGGGUAAUGGCCUACCUAGGCGACGAUGGUUAGCGGGUCUGAGAGGAUGAUCCGCCACACUGGCACUGGAACACGGGCCAGACUCCUACGGGAGGCAGCAGUGAGGAAUAUUGCGCAAUGGGGGAAACCCUGACGCAGCGACGCCGCGUGAGUGAAGGAAGGCCUUCGGGUCGUAAAGCUCUGUCAAGAGGAAAGAAGUGUACAAUGGCUAAUACCUGUUGUAUUUGACGGUACCUCUAAAGGAAGCACCGGCUAACUCCGUGCCAGCAGCCGC